Molecule: transfer RNA, 98 nt
Filed under: Lentinula boryana
Lineage: Eukaryota; Fungi; Basidiomycota; Agaricomycetes; Agaricales; Omphalotaceae
Description: tRNA-Ile
Rfam family: tRNA
About the family: Transfer RNA (tRNA) molecules are approximately 80 nucleotides in length. Their secondary structure includes four short double-helical elements and three loops (D, anti-codon, and T loops).
Source: RNAcentral
GCUCGCUUAGCUCAGUGGUAGAGCAUUGUACUUAUGAGGGCACGUGAUUACCUGCGCAUAUCAUGCAAGGGUCGGCAGUUCGACCCUGCCAGUGAGCA